GCCGGGUUAGCUCAGCUGGUAGAGCAGCGGUUUUGUAAACCGAAGGUCGCGGGUUCGAUUCCUGCACUCGGCACCA
Molecule: transfer RNA, 76 nt
Filed under: Sphingomonas aerophila
Lineage: Bacteria; Pseudomonadati; Pseudomonadota; Alphaproteobacteria; Sphingomonadales; Sphingomonadaceae
Also listed under: 5 other names
Description: tRNA-Thr
Rfam family: tRNA
About the family: Transfer RNA (tRNA) molecules are approximately 80 nucleotides in length.
Source: RNAcentral